UCCUCCUCUCCAUGCGCAUAAGAAAGCCCCACGCCAACUAGUUUUUGGACGCCCAAAAGGAAAAGUUUUGCGUGAGUUUUUAGCGUGUAAGAACCAUGGGAAACUCUCCUAUUUCCGUGUGAUAUCUGGCGCAAACAAAAAAUGGGUGGGUGGCAUAAUAAAGAGAGAGUCCAAGGCUACUUGGACUCUUAUCUCCUAUCUAAACUCUAUCUCCAAUUUUUAUUUAAACCUAGCACCAUAUGGGGUGUUUGAUGGGCUGAUUGUGAUCAGGUUUUGACACCACAAACCAGAGAAAAAGUGCAUGAAAAACCAAGGAAGAAAGACACGGUGUGAAGGUCAUGGGCGUGAGGCAAUAUGCUUCAUAUCCUCUUUUUCUUACAACAACCAAAGGUUGGUUGUUAGGACAUCUUCUCUCCCAUCUUUUGUCUAUGUUUGAACAUGGAUUUUUCUUCUUCUCUUUGUCCAAAAGUUGGACAAAAUUCUUAUAUCUCUAGUGUAGAGAUUUGGUGCAUAAAUUUUAAAAAGAAAAAAGAAGAAAAAGUUCUUCUCAUAAUCUCUAAUGUAGAAAUCAACAUCCUCCUAUGUUUUUCUUCUUCUCUAAGAGUGUCUUGAGAAAAAAAAAUAUUUUCAACCAUCAAGAUGCGAUCUCUGCAAUGGAGCUAGCACCCUGAUGAGAUCAAAAAGCUUCUGAUCAGAUCGAAAUCUCGUGUGGAUAUCCAUAAAAGUCGGACAGUUGUGCGGCUUUAAGGGCCCUUCGGAAGACAUCCAUGAUCAUCAGUUCGCGGUGAAGAUUGAUCAAUGCCAUGAUAUGUUCUCUAUUUAUUUUUCUCUAUUUGAUUUCUGUAUCUAAAUCUUAUCUCACAUAUGA
This 868-nucleotide long non-coding RNA is filed under the name Elaeis guineensis (African oil palm). RNAcentral describes it as "long non-coding RNA (EGUI_LNC013643)". Lineage: Eukaryota; Viridiplantae; Streptophyta; Magnoliopsida; Arecales; Arecaceae. The record is from RNAcentral.